GAAUAGCUGGUCUGAUUGGAGCUGGUCUCAUCCCGCCCUUAUACACUUCUCUUGUAUACUCAUUCUAUCAUGUACGCCAGAGCCACAAAAAAGGAAGGAUAUCUUUGAGGACAGCCAAGUCCAGCCGAAGCAGUCUGCAUGCACCAGAUGGUGAGCUGUGGUUGGGAAAAGGCAAGCAAGGCCUUUGAGCUGGUCUCAGGAAGUCCUUUGGUAAUCUCCGGCAAGGGUAAUGCCUCUUUUGCCUCCUGCUGAAUCCUUGAGAUUCGCUAUAGCUCCAUCCGGUUGUUAUCCUUCAUCCCAGUUGCCAUGCCACAAGAGUUCCAUGGUUACCUGGCUACCGGAGUUUGUUGCCAUCCAUUCCAUUCUGUGCCAUCUUAAAAAUAAACAAAGGAUUCGCAUGCAGACACACAAGGUGUAUGGACAACUCUCGUAUUUUCCUAAAUUCUCCUGUUUUUGAGUGUGCGAGGCAGGAUGCUGACAGGCAGGAGUGGUCUUCAGUGUGCGGCAGUCAACCCCAAAGGUCCUUUCCCUCUAGGCCCAUUCCCAAGACACAUCUGGAUCCAUCACAACACACCGCAGGACAGCUUGGAUAAAGCCUGCCAUGAGAUCUGGAAGAGGGUCCAAGGACUCCCCGAGGAACUCCAGCCAAGGUCUUCAUCACCACUUCUCCAACUUAACUGUCGCCCGGUCACGUCUUCAGAGGCCCUUCGAGAAGACAGCAGCAGUACAAGCAGCAACUCUCAAAAGGAAUCUUUGGAGACCAACAUUUGCAAAGAUGAAAUUUCCCUGUUGGUUGAGCAAGAAUAUUUGAGCCUUGCCCAGGAGAAUGCCACUGAGCUGGAGAUGCAAAGGUCUGAAAAUGAUAAGAUGACCCCUGGCUCCUCAUUUCAGGUCCUAUCUAACAACAACCUCCCUACGCCUUCUGAUGGAGACCAGACAUUCGAGGAGCGGGAUGCCAUGGAAAAUGUUUACAGAGCCCUCACUGGGAAUAAAAGGGAGAUGAAACUGCAGUCUGUCUGUGAUGUCCAGCUGUCCACUAAAUCUACCAUCACAGGGAUCUUGCUCCCUGCAAAAUAUAUCUACAAGAAUGCCAAAAGUGCAGAAAGUGGGAACAGUAACACAAUGGGUUCCAACACGCAGAUUGCUAAGCUUUUGGCCCAGUUCCCGCUCAAACGUGUUGAGGCCGCCAAAGGGCUGGACAACAAGAUGGUGACUGAUGAGACCAAGCUGAUCAAGGACCUGCUGCAAAACAACAUGUUUGUCUCUGCAGCCCACAAAGACAACGUCACAAGGCCGUCCCCAAUCAUGACAGUGGUGGAAAGCUCCGGUGUGGGGCAGAAAAAGCAGCUCCCUGUGUUUGCCAAGAUCUGCUCAAAAACGGAACCUGAACUGGUUGCUGAUGGAUUGUGUCAAAACAAUGCCACUUCAGCAGCCAUUGAUAAGAACAACAUGAAAUAUAGUGGGAAUGUUUUCACCCCACGGUUCCCAACAACCUCCAAGACCACCUCGUUAAAACAACCAAUGUGGCUUAGCCUUAAUUACCCUCCGCCUCCCGUUUUCCCAAACCACUCGAACUUUCCGCAAUACCAGAGUUUGUAUCAGCAGAGAGCACGGAUCCCAUACCAGCAGACGUUACAUCCUCAGCUGGGAUGCUAUUCCAGGCAGGUAACUCCUUACAACCCGCAGCAAAUCUUCCGGUCACCAUACACGCCUGUCCUCAGCUACAUCCCCUUGGUUCAGCCCGGUUACUCUUACCAGCAGAGGAACCCCACCAAGCCAUCCAGCAGUGUGCGGGAUCCUCCAGCAAUGGCGGGAGACGGGCCACAGUAUCCUUUUUCUCCUUCCUAUGGGUUCACAUCUACCACAACCGGACCUGUAAGAGCCAACCCUUAUUUCUCUUCUAAUGGAGGUAGCAGUAGUUUUUAACUCUCCAAGCACUUUUUGCUUACUUAAUUGAAGACCUGGACAUUUUGAGAACAGCAAGAAAUGCUUGGUGGUUAUAUGCAUGGACUUCUGUUUGAACAUUUUUCGCUGAGGUUAAAAGAAUUCAGGUCUGAAUUACUUGGUGUAAUUUCGGGACCUAAGGAACAGCAGGCUGGCAGUUCAUCCAGAUGAGCAGAAUUUUGUGUACCAAGAAAUGCUUAGAUGUUAGGUGAUUAAAGCACACUGCUGAGGAGCACAUGGCCGCAGAUGAAAGGAGUGAAGGAUAACCUGGCACCCGAAUAUUAUACUUUCUAAUAAGAUUAAUUUGGUUGCUUGUGAAUGGAGAGGCACAGCGGCAAUGAGGAGGCGUCUGUCAGGGACUUAUGGAAAGAGGCAAGAGCUCUUAUUAAAGCAGUGGAUGGUGGCACGUGUUUCAAUCGCGGCGAAUUAGACGGAGACGUGAGUGUCAGGGACACGCGGGGAGGACUCAGUCCCAACGGCAGGAACCAGGACCAGCUCUCAGAAAAAGGUCCAGGUCCAGGGAUCCAUGCAGGAGGGGAUCCUGGGCAACCAAACGAGGUGCAAGACUGUAGGUGGCAGUCAGGUGGACUCCAUGCAGCUUCUGAAGGUCAAUGGGCGAGAAGAUCUAAUGUGAACACCAAGCAGGCAGAUAUGAAACGGAAAUCCAGGCAUACGGUAGGCUUGGAGAAACAAGCACAGCCCGGUAGCUUUGCAUCCGCUCCACCAUCAUCUGAGAUGAAUACCAAAGCCUACCAAAGAAAUCCAUCAUAUGUUGGUUGUUUAUUGAUUUCCAAUUCAAAGUGCUGGUUCUCACCUACAAAACCCUUAUGGGAUUACCACCUG
RNA transcript from Hemicordylus capensis (graceful crag lizard), 2787 nucleotides. It is a transcript of the gene named chromosome 7 C1orf94 homolog, with no coding region annotated. The transcript is spliced from 7 exons. Lineage: Eukaryota; Metazoa; Chordata; Lepidosauria; Squamata; Cordylidae. The record is from RefSeq and is a predicted model, not a curated record.